CGGACGGGUGAGUAACACGUGGAUAACCUACCUAUAAGACUGGGAUAACUUCGGGAAACCGGAGCUAAUACCGGAUAAUAUUUUGAACCGCAUGGUUCAAAAGUGAAAGACGGUCUUGCUGUCACUUAUAGAUGGAUCCGCGCUGCAUUAGCUAGUUGGUAAGGUAACGGCUUACCAAGGCAACGAUGCAUAGCCGACCUGAGAGGGUGAUCGGCCACACUGGAACUGAGACACGGUCCAGACUCCUACGGGAGGUAGCAGCC
This 263-nucleotide ribosomal RNA is filed under the name uncultured Staphylococcus sp. RNAcentral describes it as "partial 16S ribosomal RNA". It matches the Rfam family "Bacterial small subunit ribosomal RNA", at positions 99 to 355 of the family's 1533-position model. The record is from RNAcentral. Lineage: Bacteria; Bacillati; Bacillota; Bacilli; Caryophanales; Staphylococcaceae.